RNAcentral lists this ribosomal RNA (253 nucleotides) under uncultured bacterium. RNAcentral describes it as "partial 16S ribosomal RNA". It matches the Rfam family "Bacterial small subunit ribosomal RNA", at positions 524 to 776 of the family's 1533-position model. The record is from RNAcentral.
UACGAAGGGGGCUAGCGUUGCUCGGAAUCACUGGGCGUAAAGCGCACGUAGGCGGAUUGCUAAGUCAGGGGUGAAAUCCUGGAGCUCAACUCCAGAACUGCCUUUGAUACUGGCGAUCUUGAGUCCGGGAGAGGUGAGUGGAACUGCGAGUGUAGAGGUGAAAUUCGUAGAUAUUCGGAAGAACACCAGUGGCGAAGGCGACUCACUGGCCCGAUACUGACGCUGAGGCGCGAAAGCGUGGGGAGCGAACAGG